GACGAACGCUGGCGGCGUGCUUAACACAUGCCAGUCGAACGGAAAGGCCCUGCUUUUGUGGGGUGCUCGAGUGGCGAACGGGUGAGUAACACGUGAGUAACCUGCCCUUGACUUUGGGAUAACUUCAGGAAACUGGGGCUAAUACCGGAUAGGAGCUCCUGCUGCAUGGUGGGGGUUGGAAAGUUUCGGCGGUUGGGGAUGGACUCGCGGCUUAUCAGCUUGUUGGUGGGGUAGUGGCUUACCAAGGCUUUGACGGGUAGCCGGCCUGAGAGGGUGACCGGCCACAUUGGGACUGAGAUACGGCCCAGACUCCUACGGGAGGCAGCAGUAGGGAAUAUUGCACAAUGGGCGGAAGCCUGAUGCAGCAACGCCGCGUGCGGGAUGACGGCCUUCGGGUUGUAAACCGCUUUCGCCUGUGACGAAGCGUGAGUGACGGUAAUGGGGAAAGAAGCACCGGCUAACUACGU
Molecule: ribosomal RNA, 467 nt
Filed under: uncultured bacterium
Lineage: Bacteria
Description: partial 16S ribosomal RNA
Rfam family: Bacterial small subunit ribosomal RNA
Source: RNAcentral